AUAGGUUAAGUUAAUAAGGGCGCAUGGUGGAUGCCUUGGCACUAGAAGGCGAUGAAGGACGUGACUAACUACGAUAUGCCUCGGUUAGCUGUAAGUAAGCUUACCCGGGGGUUUCCGAAUGGGGCAACCCGAUCUUAAUGAUCAUCAUCUUUUUGAAUUCAUAGAUUAGAUGAAGCAAACGCUGUGAACUGAAACAUCUCAGUAGCAGUAGGAAAGUAAAGAAAUUUCGAUUCCGUCAGUAGCGGCGAGCGAACGCGGAAGAGCCCAAACCUGGAUGCUUGCAUCCAGGGGUUGUAGGACUGAUGUUGAGU
This 311-nucleotide ribosomal RNA is filed under the name Oenococcus oeni. RNAcentral describes it as "bacterial LSU rRNA". It matches the Rfam family "Bacterial large subunit ribosomal RNA", at positions 1 to 317 of the family's 2925-position model. Lineage: Bacteria; Bacillati; Bacillota; Bacilli; Lactobacillales; Lactobacillaceae. The record is from RNAcentral.